RNAcentral lists this ribosomal RNA (253 nucleotides) under uncultured bacterium. Its description in RNAcentral is "partial 16S ribosomal RNA". It matches the Rfam family "Bacterial small subunit ribosomal RNA", at positions 524 to 776 of the family's 1533-position model. The record is from RNAcentral.
UACGGAGGGUGCAAGCGUUAUCCGGAUUCACUGGGUUUAAAGGGUGUGUAGGCGGGUAUUUAAGUCAGUGGUGAAAUCUCCAGGCUCAACCUGGAAACUGCCAUUGAUACUAUUUAUCUUGAAUCCUGUUGAGGUGGGCGGAAUAUAUCAUGUAGCGGUGAAAUGCUUAGAUAUGAUAUAGAACACCGAUUGCGAAGGCAGCUCACUAAACAGGCAUUGACGCUGAGGCACGAAAGCGUGGGGAUCAAACAGG